UGGCGGCGUGCCUAACACAUGCAAGUCGCACGUCCUCGGUCUUCGGACCGAGGGAGUGGCGGACGGGUGAGUAGCACGUGGGUGACCUACCUUGGGGUGAGGAAUACCGGCGCGAAAGCGCCGACAAUGCCGCAUAGGCUCGGGGCGACUCGAGCAAAGCUUCUUUCGGGGAGCGCCGCAAGAUGGGCCCGCGGCCGAUUAGCUGGUUGGUGGGGUAAUGGCCUACCAAGGCGACGAUCGGUAGCUGGUCUGAGAGGACGAUCAGCCACACUGGGAUUGAGAACGGCCCAGACUCCUACGGGGGGCAGCAGUGAGGAAUUUUCGGCAAUGGACGCAAGUCUGACCGAGCAACGCCGCGUGCAGGAAGACGGCCUUCGGGUUGUAAACUGCUUUUCGCUGGGACGAGAACGGACGGUACCAGCGGAAGAAGCCCCGGCUAACUACGUGCCAGCAGCCGCGGUAAUACGUAGGGGGCGAGCGUUGUCCGGCGUUACUGGGCGUAUAGCGCACGCAGGCGGUCCUGCCCGUUCUGGGUGACAGUGCUCGGCUUAACUGAGCAAGGAGC
Molecule: ribosomal RNA, 565 nt
Filed under: uncultured bacterium
Lineage: Bacteria
Description: bacterial SSU rRNA
Rfam family: Bacterial small subunit ribosomal RNA
Source: RNAcentral